GAGCUUGACGGGCCUGGCCCCGCACAGACUCCACAGAUGCACUCCGGUAAGUGCACGUCCACGGCCCACAUGGGAGCAGAGCGCACACCGAUCUUUCCACGUGACAGACUUUCAAGAUUGGCUCGCAGGAGGAGCUUGACUUCUGUUUGGACGUUCCUGUGGUCUGAACAUCACACCCUUCAGGAGGCAGUAGUGGCACAUAGCUGUAAUAGGCUCUCUUCCCAGAGUAGCAGCAGCCUUCCUACCACCCAGUUCCAAGCAGAACUGCCAGAGCCUUCUGUGGAGAGAACCCCAGCCCAGACUUCAAGAUGCUGACAUUUGGAUGUCUUUCCGGAAACAACAAACCCCCAGCUAGAGCAAUGGUUCUCCACCGGAGGGUGAGGGGGGUUCCCCCCAGACAUUCUGGAGAGAGUCUUGUCGCCGCUGGGCUGGCACGUAGUGGGGAGAGGCCAGGGAUGCUGCUAACACCCUCCAGCGCACAUGACACCCCCACAUGGAUGCACCUGCUCUACACUGUCAAUCGCGCCACACUGGAGGAACUCGGCCUCAGGUGUCUGCGCACUGGCUCACUGCCAAGGGCCCUUCUCUACCUCUUCUGGAUUAGUAGUCGGGCUGUUUCAUGGUACUCAACCUUCUCGAAUGCUAAAGAGUAG
RNAcentral lists this long non-coding RNA (653 nucleotides) under Felis catus (domestic cat). RNAcentral's name for it is "lncRNA (ENSFCAG00000053844.1)". The record is from RNAcentral. Lineage: Eukaryota; Metazoa; Chordata; Mammalia; Carnivora; Felidae.